RNAcentral lists this non-coding RNA (23 nucleotides) under Cricetulus griseus (Chinese hamster). The record is from RNAcentral. Lineage: Eukaryota; Metazoa; Chordata; Mammalia; Rodentia; Cricetidae.
GUUCUAGUAUGGAUCGCCAGGUA